This 496-nucleotide ribosomal RNA is filed under the name uncultured bacterium. RNAcentral's name for it is "partial 16S ribosomal RNA". It matches the Rfam family "Bacterial small subunit ribosomal RNA", at positions 27 to 507 of the family's 1533-position model. The record is from RNAcentral.
GGGGGGGGGGGGGGGGGGGGGGGGGGGGGGGGGGGGGGGGGGGGGGGGGGGGGGUGGGUGCGCUGAGGUGCGCGGCGGGCGGGUGGGUCGCCGGGGGGGAACCUACCUAUAAGACUGGGAGAACUUCGGGAAACGGGAGCGAAUCCCGGAGCCUAUUUUGCACCUCCUGGUUCCAAAGUGCAAGACGGUCUUGCUGUUAGUUAUAGCUGGAUCCGCGCUGCAUUAGCUGGUUGGUAAGGUAACGGCUUACCAAGGAAACGAUGCAUAGCCGACCUGAGAGGGUGAUCGGCCACACUGGAACUGAGACACGGUCCAGACUCCUACGGGAGGCAGCAGUAGGGAAUCUUCCGCAAUGGGCGAAAGCCUGACGGAGCAACGCCGCGUGAGUGAUGAAGGUCUUCGGAUCGUAAAACUCUGUUAUUAGGGAAGAACAUAUGUGUAAGUAACUGUGCACAUCUUGACGGUACCUAAUCAGAAAGCCACGGCUAACUACGUG